ACUUACAGAUUAGGAGCUUCAUUGUCCUAAGGAUGUCAAUUUUCCCCAAAUUGAUCAAUAUAAUUUUUUUUUUGUAGGACAAACGAAUUCUAAAAUUUAUAUUGGAAAAUAAAAGGUUAAGAAUAGCCUGAAGAAGAAUAAGCACAGGCGGCUCGAUGAAGCGGGAACCAAGGUUGGUGACGAUGAAGGAGGUCACGCAGAAGGCCACGCGGUCCUGGCGCAGGGAGCGGACGAUCAGCAUCCGUUGCAUUUCAUUGCAGGCAUUUUCCCACUCACCUGGGGACGAGGCACUCUGCUAGGUCCUGAAGACACAAAGAAGAAUAAGCCGCAGUCUCGGAGAGGACAGAGAGGCUAUUGGUUAUGAUGUCGCUGCCUGCUGGACUCAGGGAAAGUUUCCGAGAGGAGCUGCUCCAGAGAGGAGCUGCAGCAGAGUUUUCUGGUGGCAUGGGAGAGGCAGAGAGGUCACAGCAUCAGCAAAAGCAUGAGAUGGGCACAGCAUGCAGGGCAGUCAGGGAUGCUCAGGCACCCAGUGCAAGGUGGGAAAGGUGAGGCUGAGGCAGGAGAAGGCCAGGUCAUGAGGGCUUUCGUGGGCCACUGGGAUCAAGCAACCAACCACUGGCAGUCAGACCCGGGAAGCAGCAUGGUCGGAUUUGCUCAGGUGGGCAAUGCAGGAGGGUAGGUUGAGAGGGACAGUGGGUAGAGGCAGGAGGACCUCUAGGAGACCAUUGUGCAACUCAGAAAAAAGGAUCACCAGGGCCAGAGCUAAAGUACAGCCAAGCAGUGGGAAGAUGGGGAGGGAACAGUUUGCAGAAAUAUUCAUGAACAAAACCCGGUGAGUGCUUUGAAAGGGAAGAGUCAAGGAUAGCUCCCAGUUUUUGCCAGGCAUGGUGGCUCACGCCUGUAAUCCCAACACUGUGGGAGACCAUGGCAGGAG
Long non-coding RNA from Cercocebus atys (sooty mangabey), 934 nucleotides. RefSeq lists it as uncharacterized. NCBI's taxonomy places the organism in Eukaryota, Metazoa, Chordata, Mammalia, Primates, Cercopithecidae. The transcript has 3 exons. The record is from RefSeq and is a predicted model, not a curated record.